Molecule: ribosomal RNA, 601 nt
Filed under: uncultured bacterium
Lineage: Bacteria
Description: bacterial SSU rRNA
Rfam family: Bacterial small subunit ribosomal RNA
Source: RNAcentral
AGGGGUAUAGUUCUUCGGAACUAGAGACCGGCGCACGGGUGCGUAACGCGUAUGCAAUCUACCUUUUACAGGGGAAUAGCCCAGAGAAAUUUGGAUUAAUGCCCCAUAGUAUAAUUUAUUCGCAUGAGUAGAUUAUUAAAGUUCCAACGGUAAAAGAUGAGCAUGCGUCCCAUUAGCUAGAUGGUAAGGUAACGGCUUACCAUGGCGACGAUGGGUAGGGGUCCUGAGAGGGAGAUCCCCCACACUGGUACUGAGACACGGACCAGACUCCUACGGGAGGCAGCAGUGAGGAAUAUUGGUCAAUGGACGCAAGUCUGAACCAGCCAUGCCGCGUGCAGGAUGACGGUCCUAUGGAUUGUAAACUGCUUUUGUACGAGAAGAAACACUCCUUCGUGAAGGAGCUUGACGGUAUCGUAAGAAUAAGGAUCGGCUAACUCCGUGCCAGCAGCCGCGGUGAUACGGAGGAUCCAAGCGUUAUCCGGAAUCAUUGGGGUUUAAAGGGUCCGUAGGCGGUCAGAUAAGUCAGUGGGUGAAAAGCCCAUCGCUCAACGGUGGGAACGGCCAUUGAUACUGUUUGACUUGAAUUAUUAGGAAGUAACUA